This 2267-nucleotide long non-coding RNA is filed under the name Catharus ustulatus (Swainson's thrush). RNAcentral describes it as "lncRNA (ENSCUSG00005014561.1)". The record is from RNAcentral. Lineage: Eukaryota; Metazoa; Chordata; Aves; Passeriformes; Turdidae.
GCCAGUUGGUAGUUUAUUGGGUGACGUUAUGCUGAUGGAAAGUUCCUUGACCUGGUGAGGCCUAAAACAUUAAUUAUUAAUAAAUUAAUGUAUUAAACAUUGUUCCAGUCUAAUUACCCUAGAGGGACUAUAUCUAAAUUGUUGAAUCUUUGCCUUGAGGUUUUCCCAGCUCCAAAGUGUGAAUUACCUCCUGCUCAUCUCAGCCCUGUGGUUCUUGAGACGAAGUGUGACAAUUCAAUCACAGCAGUCAGAUAUUAGAUAGUGGGGGUGUAUGGUAUGGCAUUUAAUGGAUCCCUAAGAGUCAUGGUGAAAUAGGGCCUUUGCUUACUGCAGGAUCUAAAGGGACAUGAGAGAAACAGAAGAAAAGAUGAUGUGUAGAACAGUUAUAUCCAUGGAUCACAAACCAUGAAAUAGACCAUAAAAGUGGUAAGAAGGCUUAUCCAAUUCCAAAUUACAGUUGUUUGAACACUAAGCAGCUUAAGAAAGUAAGCAUUAUGAUCAUUCUCAUUCAGAAAAAGAAACCACUGCUGAGGUAAAACCUUUUGGCUGGUAGUAACAAAAUGAAAAUAUUAAUCUUAGCUGUUAAUCUUUUUGAUUUAUAGAUAUUACAUAAAUCAUGCUGCUGUUUUUUCCAAUCUGCUGCUAGGAUUUGCUGCAUACUGUUCACCUGGAGAGAAUGGCCUGUUGGGAAUUCCUGACUACUUUGGGCAUACUUCAGAAGUAAUACAGGCUGCGAAUGUGAGCUUGAAAAUUGCAUCAGGAUGCCCAGAGGUAAGCGAGCAUUUCUCUGGCCAGAACAGGAAGAUCUAUGGCAUGUUCUUGUAGCUGACCAGCAUAUAGAAGAGGACUUACUAAAGAUGGAUUUCAAUGUCUCAAUCGUAAUCCACGGCAAUAAUGAAACCUCCUAAGCAGCCACUCUGCCCCACCUCACCAGGAGUUACCUCCGUCCAUCCAAGGGGAAUUUCGCUGCCACAGGCCAGCAGGGGGAGCGAGUCCCUCCCGGGGGUGUCUGACCUGGCCCAUGACAGGAGACAGUGCCACAGAAGAACCCAAUCUGGGACUUAACCUGGGAUGCAAAAGAUCAAAUUCCUGUUUUCCAGCUCUGUUACAGCCAUCAUAAAGCACCUUAAGCAAAUCAUCCUGCCUCCAUUACCAUCUCUAACAAUGGAAAAAUAAUUUCUUUCACCAUUCUUUAUUAGUUCAUUAAUUCAGUGGGGCAGCAAGUAUGCCCUAUGGCUUAAAUGUCACAUGCUUAAUGCUGUAGGCAUUUUUUAGGACUUUGCUUAGACACCUAUGGACUUUAGCACCUCUGUACUCAGCAGCAGCAACACUACAUUGGUUCACAACAGCUAAAUGCAGAGUAUAUAAAAAUUUGACCAAGGUAGGUGCUAUGUUUUUUCAUUUCCCAGGAAAAAUAACUGCUCUUACUAAAUGAAAAAUUUUAAUGGAAUUAUUAUUGCUACAAAAACACAGCUUUUCAGCUGUUAAGUCAGCAGUAAAGCUACUGUUAACUUCUCUUAAGAUCACUACCUUCACCUGAUCACAGGAUAGUGGAUAACUUGCACUUACAUUAACUAUAUUUUAGACCAUUCUAGCACUUUCCAUAAACAUUUUAACAUUUUGGGUUAUCAUACUCUGCCAUUUUCCUGCAUGCACAUAAUCCUGGACCCUGAGAAAUGAGGCUUUUAGAACUCAUUUAACAAGUAAUAGUGUUAUGCUAUGGGACUGUUCCUCAGUACAACCAUGUGUCUCAAUUAUAUUAAUCUAUUUCUCAGAUUUAAAAACUAAGCAAUCAUAAGGUACAUGCAGCCUUGUUUGAGAAAGUAUGUUUGAAAAGCAAAUGGUUCUCUCCGCCCCUGCACAGCUCCAGCUGACAGACAGAAGCAAUUCAUCUGUGAGAAGGAAAAUGCCAUUUGUCACAUAUGACUUAGGCCAGUUUCCAAGUACUUCAAAUAGAAGAAAAGAAACGCUACAAAAAGAAAUAUGACAGGUCUACACUGCCACGUAAGUUUUUAACUGAAAAAUGUAAUGGGAAUCAAAUAUAAUUUUAAAAAAUUAUGACUUUAUUAUUGUAAUUCAUAUGAAUUUCCAGUCUGUUAUUGGUAUAUAUAUUCUUAGCCAUAUGCCUGGCAAUUAACUGGACAAUCUAGAUUUACCUCAGUAAAAGUAUUUCCUUCUAUCAGAUUUCCUCCCUUCUCACCAAUUUCACUGGAUGUUUUCCUUUGAACUUUUACUACACUCAUGACUUGCAUUCCUUAUAUCAUCAC